This 2713-nucleotide unclassified non-coding RNA is filed under the name Hevea brasiliensis (rubber tree). The record is from RNAcentral. Lineage: Eukaryota; Viridiplantae; Streptophyta; Magnoliopsida; Malpighiales; Euphorbiaceae.
GUUACUUAAGCGGUUAGGCAGCCAAGUAACUAUUUCUGAGAUGAGGAAGCAAAGCAUAUCAGCAGCUAAACAAAUUGGGUUAUGCGCUUUCUUUUUUGAACUUGCUACACUUUUCUCACUCAAUGCUCCGCUCUCUCCGCUCCCGUCGCCGCCCCCGUUACGGAGCACACUUGUGCGCCGUCAUCUCCGCUCUCCUCCUCCUCAUCUCAUUGUCUCUCCUUCAUACCCGUCUCUCUUCCUCUCACUACUAUGGCCGCUACCAUCACCACGGCUACCACAGCCACUCCCGAAACGACGCUGAUUCAGCCGCCAUCAUUCAUCAAAAUCCCCUUCUAUCUGAUUCCGACGACAACUCAAACGAUGACGUAGUCGACAAGAUCGACGAGCACGAUACCUUCGAAGACCAAAACGACAGCACUGGUUUCAGAAUUGACGAUGAAGAGUUCUCUGAAGGGGACCUUGAAAAUGGCCAAACCAAAAGCAAAAGGAAGAUUUCCUCUUCUGGGUAUUUUGUAGAUCACAUAACCGGAUCGAUUCGCAGAGCUCUCAAUAAACGCUCAAUCGACGAUUGGGAUUAUGAUUAUAAUUCGUUUAGUGUGGGGUUGAACGUAGAGGAUCAAAGCAAGGACGCGUUUGGAAGUGACGAUAUUCCUAUAGAUGAGCAUGUGAGGAGGAAAGUGAACGAGGUUGAUGGGAUUGAGGAUGCCUUGUUGUUAAAGAUUGGGAAAAGAGUUUCUCCAUUAAGGGAAGGGUGGGGGGACUGGUUUGAUAAGAAGAGCGAUUUCUUGAGGAGGGAUAGAAUGUUCAAGUCGAAUUUGGAGAUGUUAAAUCCUUUGAAUAAUCCCUUUUUGCAGGACCCUGAUGGGGUUGGGGUUACUGGGUUGACGAGAGGGGAUAAGGUGUUGCAGAAGCUGUUGUUUAAUGAGUUUAAGAAGACCCCAUUUCUUGUUAAGAAGCCGUUGAGGGUUUUGAGAAUGACUUCCGAGGAUGAAGUGGAAGAAAAUGGUCAUGUGGUUGGAAUUAGGAAGAGCGGUGAUAAUGGCAGAGGAACAGAGAGAGAGAGUGAUUUCAAAAAUGGGGGUGGGAUUAAAAUAGCAGAAAGGAGGAUUUUUCAUGAGAAUGAGAGUACUGGAUCACAUAGUGAGAGAUUAAAAAAUGUUAUUGAAAAUCUGAUUUCUGGUGGGAAUGGGAAUGUAUUGAAUGAAGAUGAAAGUAAUGUGAUUCAAGGGUCCAGUUCAAGUAAGGGAUCAUCUACUGAGAAUAUAAAAGAUCCCAAUGGAAAUGGGAAUUCAAAUACAAAUGAGAAUAGUAUUGAUGGAGAACUAAGGCAAAUGGAGAAUAGAGAGUCUAAGUUGCGGAGGAAGUCUGAGGAGUUGAGUUAUGCACUUGCAGACGGGAAAAGAUGGGGUUAUUUUCCUGGUUUGCAUCCUCAUUUGUCUUUCUCAGAUUUCAUGGAUUCUUUUUUCGGGAAGGAGAAGUGUGACAUCAGGGUGUUCAUGGUGUGGAAUUCCCCGUCUUGGAUGUAUACUGUUAGGCACCAGAGGGGGCUUGAGAGUCUGCUGUUGCACCACAGAGAGGCUUGUGUUGUAGUGCUAUCGGAGACAAUUGAGCUGGAUUUUUUUGCUGACAGCUUUGUGAAAGAUGGUUACAAAGUUGCUGUUGCCAUGCCAAAUCUUGAUGAAUUGCUAAAGGAUACACCAACCCAUGUAUUUGCUGAUGUUUGGUAUGAGUGGAAAGGGACAAAGUUCUAUCCCACGCACUACAGUGAGCUUAUCCGGCUUGCUGCUCUCUACAAAUAUGGUGGUAUCUACCUAGAUUCAGAUAUUAUAGUUCUAAAUCCAUUUCCUGCACUUAAUAAUACUGUUGGUCUGGAAGAUCAGCUCGCUGGAAGUUCUUUGAACGGGGCUGUGAUGGCAUUUAGAAAGAACAGUCUGUUCAUAAUGGAAUGCUUGAAAGAGUUUUAUGCGACAUAUGAUGAUACCCAAUUGAGAUGGAAUGGGGCUGACCUCUUGACAAGAGUUGCAAGAAGAUUUUUGAAAAAAGAAGACAACUUUAUAACACAGUUGGAAUUGUCAGUGCAACCCUCUUACAUUUUCUUCCCUAUCGGUUCACAAGAUAUGGAAAGUUACUUUGCCAGACCAACAAUGGAGACUGAAAAAGGUAGACAAGAGGCUUUUCUCAAUAAAAUUCUGAGGGAGUCCUUAACAUUCCAUUUUUGGAGCAGCUCGACAUCUGCUCUCAUCCCAGAGGCAGGAAGCCUCGUGGCCCAGCUUUUUGAUCAAACCUGUAUUCGUUGCUCUGAUAUAUUGUGAUUUUAUGCUUUUCACAUAACUCAUCAAUUCUGUUAAACCUUUGUUAAGUGGGAGGAACUAGGGCGGCAACCUGCUGCAAGUGCCACAAAAAUUUUCAGAAUGUAGCUUUUCUAGUGAUUAGAGUUUCAUGUCCGAAAUACCAAGCAUGUCUAUUGAUGCGACUGUACAGUUUUCUAUCUUUUCAUGUUAAUUUAUUAAAUAGCGGCAAAAAAAGCCAAUUUUGUAAGCAAAUUAAGGUAUACUUUAACAAUGUUUGGUUCCAUGCUAUAAAGGAUGAUUUGGUGUAUGCAAGUUGGUUCAGCAGAUUACGACCUGCUUCAUUAAUGGGAAAAUUAUAAAUUUUUGUACAGGAAAAUAAAUUGUAUUUAUUCUAACUUAGUUUACUAGUUCUUCAAUAUGGG